UUAUUGCAUAAAAUUAUAGGUGUGGAAAUAACAUAAAAACUAUUUCAAACUAAAUAUUAAAAAAUAAAAUAGGAAAGAAAAUCUGAUAUCAUAGAGGUGAAGAGUCACAAAGAUAUCUCCGAAAUUAAGAGAGAAGAAGAUAAUUUACAUUAUAUUAUAUGUUUUUAUUUUUGGUAUAUAUUUUUUUCAUUAACAUCACUUUAGAGUAGAUCCAUAAUAACAAGGCCAGUGAAAUUAUAAAAAAAAUAAGAAAACUAAAGUAUUACGUCUCAACAAGACAAUUAAAUAACAACUCAUGAAAUAUUCAAGAAUGUGUUUUGUACUCUUUUGGGUUUGAUACUCAAAAACAUACACAGAAGCCAUAAUAACACUUUGGUUUUUUACCACGAUUGCACAUAUUUUUGCGACAAUCAGCAACGGUAACACAUUCAUUACCCCACGCUAUAAUGAAAAAAGAAAAAGAAAAGGUUAUUAAAAUAUGAAAAAGUAUUAUCUAUAGAAUAAAGAGGAAAAAGGAUAAAAAUUACUUACCAUUAACACUCGAGAUAACAAGAAGAAAAGAAAGAAAGAUUAACAUAAUAUAAACAAAGUUAAUUAAUUUUGCCAUACUUUCCACCCUCUGCUUUUAUCGAAUAGGAUAUGUUUUAUCAAAUUUGGAUUUAUAAAUCUAAUAUUCUUCUUACAGCAAUUUAAUAAUUUUUAUUAUUAAUAGAUUUUAUUAUACAUAUAACGUAUCGAGUUCUUAAGGAACUUUUUAAAAUUUUAAUUAAUAUGAAAUGUCUCUUAAGUAUAUUAAUGUGUUGUGUUUGUCCCUAUUUUGAUUAUGGAGGUCAAAUUAAAAAUUUACCGGUCAUAAUAAUUAAUUUUUUUUUCAACAAAUUUUGAAUAUUUGAUAACCUUUCGAGAGAAAAUGACCAAACUAUAAUAACAUUGUAAAUAACUAAUAAAUUUCUCUAAGGUAUAUCAAUGUAUUUUAUUUCUCCUUUCAGAAUACCUAGUGUGGUCAUAUAAAAAAACUUAACAAUAAUAAAAAAAUUAUUUUUUUAUUUCAAAUUUUGAUUCUUUAAUAACCUUUAUGGUAAAUAAAAUGAAAUUCACAAAACAAAGAUAAUAUUAUUAAUAAUAUUUAAAUGUGUCUAAGUUCAUCAAUGUGUUGUGCUUCCAUUAGCACACUUAAGUCAUAUUAAAAAGAUACCAACCCAAAGAAUUCAUUUUUAUGUUGUGAUAAUGUUCAUACUUUACUUGAUUGACAAGGUUUGUUUGUUUGUUUUUUUGUUCAUGAAUUCUUUGAUUGAAUGUGUGUAUAUGAUAUGUGUUAUGUGUUUAUAAUGCAAUCAGGUUAGACUUGGGUUUAUUAUAUGACUAUUAUAAAUACUUUGAGACGCCAAGGUCACCAAGAAUUUGUAUGUCUCUUUCACUACAAAGUAUUCUCUUUCAUUUUAUUUCUCUCUCUUUUUAUUUUACUUAUUCUCAAAUUUCAUUGAAUGUAACUAAAGUUAUGUGAUGCAAGCUCACUAAAUAUAGGAUUGGAAACGAAAAAUAUUGUUUCUAUCUGAUAAUGUUCUUUAUAACAUGUUCUAUUAAUUUGAUAAGUAUAGAUAGUAUAGGUAUCAUCUAGAUAGAUAAUUUACUUUGAUAAGUAUAGAUAGUAUAUGUAUCAUCUAGAUAGAUAAUUUACUGAAGAUUGUAGGUUACUUUUUACUAAGAAUUACUAAAGAAUUCGUAUAAGUGAUUAUAGCGGUAAAUUCAUGAUCAUCAAGCUAUUGGCAAAUUAGAGAUCAAAUAAUAAGAGUCGCCACCACGCUUUUAUUGUUUUCAAGGAAAAAUGGAAAAAGUACGAACAAAACCCAAAUAGUAAGAAGUUUUCAAAUAAAAACUAAUAAAUGUCAGAGAUCACAGAUAAGGGGGUUGGUUACACAGAGGAAAGGUGUUAGCACCCAAAGUGUGCUAGGUACUCAUAGGGAGCCCUUUUUGUGUGCAUAUGUAUUUGACAUAAAGUGAUGUUUACAAACAAAUAGAAUGAGGGGAUGAGAAAAGAAUUCAUUGAUUAUAUUUUUGUGUUUGACAAGACCUUCAGUCUUGUGCCUAUGUACCAACAUAAAGAUGAGGGAUCAAAACCUCGUAGUUCAUGCUAUAAAUCUCAAAAUUAGUGUGUUGGUUUUAACAAAAUUUAAGUUUGAAAGGCACAAAGGCCUACAAUGAUUUGAAUGAGUUAGUUCCUUUUGCCUUUUUUGAAAGUUUAAGUUAAGUAUAGUUAAGUUGAUUUACAAGUUUGAUUUAAGAAAAUAAGUUUGAAAAUGCAAUGGCAUAAGGCCAAAGUUUCUAUCUUUUUUGCAAAAGUGGUCAAAGUUUAGAACAAAAAUAGUUCACACAAAGAAGAUUUUUGUGAAAUGGAGGGAGAAAUUUUAAAAUUAAAGAAAUGGGGAGAAGAUGAAGAGACUACCCUAUGCAUAAAAUUAAAGUUUAAAGUUGAAAAGAUCUAACCAAAUGGGUAGCCAAUCCAAUAGACAAGUAUGUCAAUAGAAACCCAGAAUUCCCUUGGACUUUUAGAAUCAAGCAACACACAAAUGCACAAUUAUAUUAUCUUGAAGAGCAAGGCAUCAAAUAAAGAUGGCCUCAUCCAAUCUUAUCCACUUCAUGAUCUUCUUCAAAAUAGCCCAUGCAACAGAUGAAUUGCACAAGUCACAGGUUCAACAUAACAGCUUAAUAAUGAUCAAUGUUGCAGAUGAACUGGAGAGAUCUUCAAAGAUGUAUCAAAUGAAUUCAAAUUGCAAGCACUUGGUUCUUCACAGAUUGGCAUUUGCCAAGUCCAUUAGCAAAGGAAUGUUGCCUAAGUUCUAAGUCCAAUUGCUCAAGAUCAAACCAACAGUCCACUCAAAUUUUUUUUACGAUUCUUGUUUUUAUUAUGUACAUUAAAUGGUCAAGGACCAUACAAACAAAUAAAGCAACACAAACAAAAUAAUAUCACACAAUAUGGUCCAAAUGGACAAAGUGAAAAUUACAUUAACAAAAAUAAUUAGAAUGAUAUGUAUAAUGGCAAAUGAUAUAAAGUGCUAAAAGUAAAUUGCAUUAAAGUAAAAGUUAAUAGUUA
This 3091-nucleotide long non-coding RNA is filed under the name Lathyrus oleraceus (garden pea). Its description in RNAcentral is "Pisum sativum (pea) long non-coding RNA (PSAT_LNC008971)". The record is from RNAcentral. Lineage: Eukaryota; Viridiplantae; Streptophyta; Magnoliopsida; Fabales; Fabaceae.